UUUCUCGAUUCAUUAGAAAAAAAUCAAGGAUUGAAAGCCUCUAUUUAUUAGUUUUUCUAUUUUCUAAAAAUCCGGAAAUCCUUAUUUUUCUAUUUUUUAUUAGUUUUUUUUUCUGUUUUGAUAGUUUCAGAAAAUUCUAAAAAAAUUCUGAAACUUCUUAUUUCACUUAAUUAGAAUAAAUUUUGUAUUUUUUUUAUUUUUAUGAAUUU
Molecule: long non-coding RNA, 209 nt
Filed under: Lathyrus oleraceus (garden pea)
Lineage: Eukaryota; Viridiplantae; Streptophyta; Magnoliopsida; Fabales; Fabaceae
Description: Pisum sativum (pea) long non-coding RNA (PSAT_LNC009278)
Source: RNAcentral